This is a non-coding RNA of Nerophis lumbriciformis (worm pipefish), 4179 nucleotides long. The record is from RefSeq and is a predicted model, not a curated record. NCBI's taxonomy places the organism in Eukaryota, Metazoa, Chordata, Actinopteri, Syngnathiformes, Syngnathidae.
CAUGCGACUUAAGUACAAGUCAGGAGUCAGCGACAAAGCAGCACGCUAAAUAGUUUUGGGCUUCAUACAAUGCUUAAAUAGUUUUGGGCUUCAUACAAUGCUUAAAUAGUUUUGGGCUACAUACAAUGAUAACAUGUCUGUUUGUUGGCUUGUCAGUCAGGAGGAAACGCACAAACCAAUUAUGUUGCCCCAUCUUCAGCCAGUUGUCCUGGGUCGAGGGCCAGAAACCACCAUUAAAGACAAGAAGUGCUCCAGGGAGCAAGUUGAAUUGAAAGCCGACUGCAACAAAAGCCUUGUCAGUGUUAAGCAGCUGGGCGUCAACCCCACCUGCAUAGGCUCCCGGGUGUUGGGUCACGGGAAGGAGGUGAAAAUGAAGGCCGGAGAGUUGCUUUACAUUGUCAAUGAGCUGUACCCUUACACCGUGCAGUUCAAGGAAGACAGCGGGGGGCUUUCUGGAAGCCGCAAAAGACCACUGGAGAUGUCUACAGCGGAGAAAGAAAGCCACAAAGAGGCUGCGAGUGUGAAGGCGGCCAAACAGACGGAAGAAUUAUCCAGUGGGAGAAGUGAAAGUGUUGGCCAUUGGAGCCAAGGCCUGAAGGCGUCGAUGCAGGACCCCAACAUGCAGGUGUACAAGGACGACCAAGUGGUGGUCAUCAAAGACAAAUACCCCAAGGCGCGUUACCAUUGGCUGGUCCUGCCGUGGGUGUCAAUUGCGAGCCUGAAGGCCCUGCGCAAGGAGCACUGCGGCCUGCUGCGCCACAUGCACGGCGUGGCUGAGCAGAUGGUGCAACGGUGCCCACGGGCCAGGUCCUUAGACUUCCGCAGUGGCUACCACGCCAUUCCCAGCAUGAGCCAUGUGCACCUCCAUGUGAUCAGCCAAGACUUUGACUCUCCUUGCCUGAAGAACAAAAAGCACUGGAACUCCUUCACCACCGAAUAUUUCAUCAAUUCCCACGACGUGAUCGGCAUGCUUGAAAGCGAUGGAAGGGUGACAGUCAGAGAAGGCACCAGUGACUUGUUGAAGGCACCCCUCAGGUGCCACCUGUGUCGCCACCAGCCUGCCACUAUACCUGCUCUGAAACAGCAUCUGAUGUCUCACUUUCCCAGCUGAGAGUGACGCCCUCAAACGCAACACAGUCGUCAUAGGUAAGGGGUGUCCAAACUUUUUGCAGCUGAAUGUACAGUGGGACCUCCAUUUACCAACCUAAUUGGUUCUUGAACAGGGUUCGUAAAUCAAAAAGUUCGUAUAGUGAAGCAGUUUUCUUCCUAGGAAACAAUGUAAAUAUAAAUAAUUGGUCCCAGCCUCGACAAAAGUCCAUAUUUUAGUGAAGGUUUGUAGACUUUGAACACAGCCAUCUUUUUAUUAACAAGCCAAAACAACGACAAGCUGAACUGCUGUAUGCCAACACGCGCACACACACGCAGAAGUCCCUUUGGUGCCCUCACAAACAAUUAGAAAUCACCAAAAUCCUUCACUUUAACAAGCCAAAACAAAAACGACAAGCUGUUGUCCUCGGUAUGCGCUGCUCUGCCAACACGCGCACACACACACGCAGAAGUCCCUUUGGUGCCCUCACAAAGAAUUAGAAAUCACAAAAAUCCUUCACUUUAACAAGCCAAAACAAAAACGACGACAAGCUGCUGUCCUCUGUAUGCGCUGCUCUGCCAACGUGCACACACGCAGAAGUCUCUUUGGUGCCCUCACAAACAAUUAGAAAUCACAAAAAUCCUUCACUUUAACAAGCCAAAACAACGACAAUCUGCUGUCCUCUGUAUGCGCUGCUCUGCCAACACGAGCGCACACGCAGAAGUCCCUUUGGUGCCCUCACAAACAAUUAGAAAUCACAAAAAUCCUUCACUUUAACAAGCCAAAACAAAAACAACGACAAGCUGUUGUCCUCUGUAUGCGCUGCUCUGCCAACACGUGUACACACGCAGGAGUCUCUUUGGUGCCCUCACAAACAAUUAGAAAUCACAAAAAUCCUUCACUUUAAGAAGCCAAAACAACGACAAGCUGCUGUCCUCUGUAUGCGCUGCUCUGCCAACACGCGCGCACACGCAGAAGUCCCUUUGGUGCCCUCACAAACAAUUAGAAAUCACAAAAAUUCAACUUUAACAACCAUAUUGCGACGAUAAUAAACAUUUAAAAUGUAAAAUUCACUUACAUUAACAUCAGCAAAGUAGGAACCGACAAGAAAAGACCAGACAGAGGGGGAGAGAGAGGAGGGGCCGUGUGUGUUUGUGUGUGCGCUUGAAAGAGGCGCAGCUGAAUGAAAAGUAGCUUGUACCCUCCGCUGUAAAAUAAGUCUGCUUUGGCAUAUUUUUCCAGAAAAGUCUGGUGUCACCACAAUUAAUACUUGUUGUGGUACAAAGCCUGCUUUGUUGAUUCUUCCAUACUUGUGAGCGCCAUUAUUGUACUCCUUGCAAAUAUAUAUAUAUUUUUUUAAACUCCCUCCUUCUAGUUUGUUGUCUUUUUGAGACUCAUAUUGAGUUAGCAAAAUGGACAAAACUUGUCAUAAAGCGAAAAAACACAGAAAACACCCACGCUAAAGCGCUGAGAAGUGACUAGUAGUGUACUGAGAAGUGACUAGUAGUGUACUGAGAAGUGACUAGUAUUGUACUGCGCAGCAAGUCACCUGGAAGGCUCCGCCUCCCCAGAAUUCUGCACCCUGCUUUUUGCCUGCAGGCGGGACACAAAAUGAAGUGUUCGCACACACUUGGCUCCAUCUAAAAGUUCGGAAAAUCGAAAAGUGUGCAAAUAAAGGGGUUUGUAAAUCGAGGUUCCGGUGUACUUACUUCCAUGAAAAGUAAGUCGGACAAUAAAUGAGCUGCAACAGGCCAUACAUGGACCCUGGGCCACAUCUUGGACACCCCUGUCAUACCUUCAUUAAAACCCUCUACAUUGAUUGGACAUUUUACACAAAUUUGAUCAAUUUGUUUGUUUGGAUUAAAGAAGUAAAAAAGGAUAGUGUCUAUUAAGGCUGUCUUCAAACAAAGGACAAUUCAGUUUGGAGGUAUCCUCUUGACAAAGUUCAUUAUCCUUUCCAGUAAAAACUGUUACGAUGUUUACUUCCUCUAUUUAGUCAAGUUCGAUGUCCUCUGGUGCUGUGGCAGAACUGAGGACCUUACAAACGGUGCUUUAGCCUUUUUUUGAGGUGGUAAAAGUUGAAAAUCAGAUCUUUGUUUUGUUCACUUUAACGAAAGACUGCAUUCCUUGAACUAACUGUGGAAUAUUCAAGUAAGAAGUUCAAAUACAAUUCUGCUUAGGGUCCCAAUUUAGCCCAAAGACCUCACUAUCUUGCAAACAACCAAUAUCUGAACCCAGGAAGUGUCGCUUGAACUUUAGUGCUAUGAAACUGAACUGAACCAAACCAGUUUGGUCGCCACACAGCAGAGGGCGCUGUUUCUACCGGUUUACUCUGGAUGGACAAUAUUUUUUAACGCUUUUCCCCCCCCUAAGAUGAAUUCAAAUAGUAUCUUUUCCAUAUUGAUUAGGUUGAACCUUUUUUCAGCAAAGCAUUUUUGUUUGGAAAAUAAAGAGACGUAAAACACAAUAGUAUUUUUGAUUUAUUGCUGUCCAAAACUGUCUUUCUUUAAACAUUGAGAAUACAAAUAUUUAUAAAAUAAAGAUUUGUGCACAUAAAGUAAUCAUGAACUCAAAGUGCCGUCUUUUGGGAUUAUAAUUAAGAUGUCUUCUUAUAUGCUAUAAAAACUAUAAAUAUAUAAUUCUCAGUUGCAAUUACAUGUUAUGUACAGUAUUGUCCAUAUCUCUGAAAGGAGUCAACCUACAAAACUGGCAAAGUAUGAAAUACUUUUGUUGAUUUUUAGAAUGACAGAGCAUAACAUAACUUUUAUAUAUUGUGAUUGACCACAUGCUGUACUUACUCAUCUGCAGAGAGCACCGGGCAUGCACUACUGCCUUCUGAAAUACAUCUCCUAUUGAGAAGUCCCACAUCCUUGUGUGGAGCUCAGCCGACGACAAGGAUCUGGCCAGAGUCAGGACGGGUCGCGGGGGCAGCAGCCUAAGCAGAGAAGGUCAGACUUCCCUCUCGUCAGAUACUUUGUUCAGCUCCUGCCGAGGCGUUCCCAGGAUAGCUGGGAAAUAUUAGUCUCCCCACCCCAACGUGUCCUGGGUCUUCCCCGUGGCCUCUUACCGGUCGGAGUUCCCUUAACACAGGG